This 74-nucleotide transfer RNA is filed under the name Enterocloster citroniae. RNAcentral's name for it is "tRNA-Gly". It matches the Rfam family "tRNA". Rfam says of the family: Transfer RNA (tRNA) molecules are approximately 80 nucleotides in length. Their secondary structure includes four short double-helical elements and three loops (D, anti-codon, and T loops). Further hydrogen bonds mediate the characteristic L-shaped molecular structure. tRNAs have two regions of fundamental functional importance: the anti-codon, which is responsible for specific mRNA codon recognition, and the 3' end, to which the tRNAs corresponding amino acid is attached (by aminoacyl-tRNA synthetases). tRNAs cope with the degeneracy of the genetic code in two manners: having more than one tRNA (with a specific anti-codon) for a particular amino acid; and 'wobble' base-pairing, i.e. permitting non-standard base-pairing at the 3rd anti-codon position. The record is from RNAcentral. Lineage: Bacteria; Bacillati; Bacillota; Clostridia; Lachnospirales; Lachnospiraceae. RNAcentral also lists the same sequence under 2 other names.
GCGAAUAUUGAGUAAUGGCUAUCUCCCUUGCCUUCCAAGCAAGUAUAUUGCUGGUUCGAAUCCGGUUAUUCGCU